Non-coding RNA from Meleagris gallopavo (turkey), 185 nucleotides. Lineage: Eukaryota; Metazoa; Chordata; Aves; Galliformes; Phasianidae. The record is from RefSeq and is a predicted model, not a curated record.
CAUCGUGGGCAACAUCCUGCUGCUGUACAGCUGCAGCUGUCGGGACUUGCAGAACAAGCUUGCGCUGGUGCAGAGCAUCACUGACUUCAGCUCUGCCUUCCAUGCUGUGGGUGGCUCCGCCUGCUUUAACACCUCCUUGAAGGGCAAGCUGCUGGAGAUCCUGAUGGGCUUGCUGAGGAAGUAUU